UGAGGAAUAUUGGUCAAUGGGCGGGAGCCUGAACCAGCCAAGCCGCGUGGGGGAAGAAGGCCCUAUGGGUCGUAAACCUCUUUUGUCAGGGAACAAAAGCGAGUAUGUAUACUGGUCUGAGUGUACCUGAAGAAAAAGCAUCGGCUAACUCCGUGCCAGCAGCCGCGGUAAUACGGAGGAUGCGAGCGUUAUCCGGAUUUAUUGGGUUUAAAGGGUGCGUAGGCGGCGGUGCAAGUCAGCGGUAAAAGCCCGGGGCUCAACCCCGGCGAGCCGUUGAAACUGCAGUGCUAGAGAAGGCGAGAGGUACGCGGAAUGCGCAGUGUAGCGGUGAAAUGCUUAGAUAUUGCGCAGAACUCCGAUUGCGAAGGCAGCGUACUGGCGCCUGACUGACGCUGAGGCACGAAAGCGUGGGGAUCGAACAGGAUUAGAUACCC
Molecule: ribosomal RNA, 434 nt
Filed under: uncultured bacterium
Lineage: Bacteria
Description: bacterial SSU rRNA
Rfam family: Bacterial small subunit ribosomal RNA
Source: RNAcentral